Molecule: long non-coding RNA, 1183 nt
Filed under: Hordeum vulgare
Lineage: Eukaryota; Viridiplantae; Streptophyta; Magnoliopsida; Poales; Poaceae
Description: long non-coding RNA (HVUL_LNC016084)
Source: RNAcentral
CAAAAUAUACUAAACAACACAUAAAAUAAACAUGCAAAAGUUGUUGCGCUGAAGAGGCACAAUUCCUAAAAAAAUACUAUCCAUCAAUGGGGAUUUGAUCCCUGGACCUCUAGGAUGUAGCACCAUUGCGCUAACCACCUCAGCUAACAGGCUACUUACACAGGAUAUCAGCGGAGAUAGCAUAUAACAUAACCCUGGCUAUACAGAUCUAGGACUAAACUAAGUUUCAGUUACACAGGAGCUUGCUCACUUUGGGGAAGUAGAGAGGCCGGAGGCCAUGCGAGGAGAAGCUGAGAUUGGACGGGGAUUUCUGGAUGGAUCCGGGCAUGGGUCGAGGCUGGAGGUCGGGGAUGGGGCACCUCCUUGUGGAAGCACCUCCGGUUCAAGGCGUCCAUGAAACAAGCCCCUCCUCUGUUCGUUCCUGGUCUCUUACGAAAGGAGAGAGAGCAGCACAGGUUAGAGAGGGCAGAGGGGAAAUGUAGAGAGGAGAAGAAAGGGCAAGGGGGAGGCGCUGCUAGGACCUGCUGUGCUCCGAUGCUCAUGGACGAAGGCCCUUGCAGGCUACGGGAGCGUUGGACCUCGGCGUUUGUAGUGGUUGUAGUUUUCCUGAACAAAGACAAGAUAGAGAGAGAAUUCAGAGAGGGAAAAUAGGGAAGGGAAGCAGGGAGAGACGACAUGAUUCAGAGAUCCUACCUGCUGCAUGGAGGAGCUCCUGCAAUUCUCGACGUGCUGGUCGGACGGUGACGGGAAAGACCAUGGCAUCGAGCUUCGGCGGCGGAGGGAUGUUGCGGUUCAUGCAGCACUUGGCCGGAUCCAGCGGUUGUCGGCGGAGCUACUUCACCGGCGGUGUUGCUGAACCUGCUGGUUCCAAGGCGCAUCGGGGAGCUCCUGAGGAAGACAAACAAAUAAGAAAAGAGAUCAGGGAAGAGAGGGGGAAUCAACAAGAGGAGGUGCACGACGACAGAAUCACCCGGGGUUCGCCUGACAUUAGGGACGAGGCCGCUUCUGGCGAUGCGUGCCUGCAGGAGCUCCUGCUCUUGUGGUCACGCAGACAAGGCUGCUGCGGUUGAUCGAUGCGUCCAGGACGGAGAGGCGAGCCACUGGAAAAGCAGAGGGGAGGCGCUGGAGAAGCAGAGGGGAUUGGGGUUUGGGCUUGGAUUUUUGGAUUGGGACGAUCUCGAGG